RNA transcript from Trematomus bernacchii (emerald rockcod), 6279 nucleotides. It is a transcript of the gene named potassium voltage-gated channel subfamily C member 1-like, with no coding region annotated. NCBI's taxonomy places the organism in Eukaryota, Metazoa, Chordata, Actinopteri, Perciformes, Nototheniidae. The transcript has 6 exons. The record is from RefSeq and is a predicted model, not a curated record.
CACCUCUCUUCUCUUCAGCUCAGUUGACUCCUUGCAAUUGCCGGGACGGAGCACCAGCAGCCUGCAGAGCGGGGACCGGUGGUUGAUGGGGACGGGGGCCAGUAGCCGCAACAGCAGCAGCAGUCGGGCGCACCGACCGAAGCAUGCUCCAGCGCAGCCAUGACUUGCUCGGCGUCAGAUAGCGAGAAGAUCGUGAUCAACUGUGGAGGGAUCCGACACGAGACUUACCGGAGCACCCUGAAUACGCUGCCUGGCACGCGCCUCUCCUGGCUCACGGAACCCGACGCGUACAGCAACUUCGACUACGACCCCAAGUCCGACGAAUUCUUCUUCGACCGCCACCCGGCCACCUUCGCCUUCAUCCUCAACUACUACCGCACCGGGAAGCUCCACUGCCCCAACGAUGUGUGCGGGCCGCUCUUCGAGGAGGAGCUCGCCUUCUGGGGCAUCGAUGAGACGGACGUGGAGGCAUGCUGCUGGAUGAACUACCGGCAGCAUCGCGACGCGGAGGAAGCCCUGGACAGCUUUGAGCAGCCCGAGCCGGACGCGCCCGAGGAUGACCCGGCGCUCACUGGCGGGGCGGACGGAGACCUGAAGCGGCUGUGCAUGCAGGAGGACGGCCGCAGGGCCACCAGGUGGGCCGUGGUGCGGCCCUUCAUGUGGGCGCUGUUUGAGGACCCCUACUCCUCCAAAUACGCACGGUAUGUGGCGUUUGGCUCGCUCUUCUUCAUCCUCCUCUCCAUCUCCACCUUCUGCCUGGAGACCCACGAAGUCUUCAACACCAUCUACAACAAAACAGAGAACGUCACAGUUGGCAACGUGACAACAGAGGAGAUAGUGUAUGAGGUCGUCACAGAUGGCUGGCUGACAUACGUGGAGGGCAUCUGCGUCAUGUGGUUCACCCUUGAGGUAAUGGCGCGAGUCGUCUUCUGCCCUGACAAGGCGGAGUUCUUCCGCAGCGCCCUUAACAUCAUUGACUUUGUGGCCAUCGUGCCCUUCUACCUGGAGGUGGCGCUGAGCGGCCUCUCUUCCAAAACAGCCAAAGACGUGCUGAGCUUCCUGCGCGUGGUGCGCUUUGUCCGUAUCCUGCGUAUCUUCAAGCUGACCCGCCACUUUGUUGGUUUGCGGGUUCUGGGCCACACUCUGCGGGCGAGCACCAACGAGUUCCUGCUGCUAAUUAUCUUCCUGGCGCUGGGCGUCCUCAUCUUUGCAACCAUGAUCUACUAUGCUGAAAGAAUUGGCGCCGAUCCAGCCGAUCCGACGGCAGCGGCCCACACCGCCUUCAAGAACAUCCCCAUCGGGUUCUGGUGGGCUGUGGUGACCAUGACCACGCUGGGCUACGGGGACAUGUACCCUGAGACCUGGUCUGGAAUGCUGGUGGGGGCCCUCUGCGCCUUGGCCGGUGUGCUGACCAUCGCCAUGCCUGUGCCUGUCAUCGUCAACAACUUCGGCAUGUACUACUCCCUGGCCAUGGCCAAGCAGAAGCUCCCCAAGAAGAGGAACAAACACAUCCCUCGAGCGCCCCAGCCCGGCAGCCCCAACUACUGCAAGCCAGAUGCCCUUGCCAUGGCAACCGCCUCGCCGCACAGGCUGAUGGGAAAUGUGAUCGGGCCGGGCAUGGUGGGAUCCGGCAGCAUGAUGGGAACUGGAGACUGCCCAUUGGCACAGGAGGAGAUCAUUGAGAUCAACAGGGCAGAUUCCAAGCAGAAUGGCGAGGCGGCAGCUAACGCAGCGCUGGCCAACGAGGACUGCCCCACCAUCGACCAGGUCCUCGGGGACGAGCGCAGCCCGGCCACGGGGGGGCUCGGCUCCACCACCAGCCGCGAGCGCUACCCCCACGACCGGGCCUGCUUCCUGCUGAGUGCCGGGGAGUUCCAGCGCACCACGGAUGGGAACGUUCGGAAAGUAGGAGGCACUGUGAACGGCUACUGGAGUGACAGCCCAUGGUAGAAGAAGAGAGGAGGACUCACACCGCAAGGGAAGAAGAGAGCGGACAUGACAACAGAGACAGCAUACGAACAUAGAAAUAUGCAAUGUAGAUACAUGAGACAUCGGUGGUUGGAUGUGUGUUUCUGUUCAGUUCUAUCUUCUGCACACAUGAGUGUGCACAUGGAUUUUUGUGUGUGGAUGUGUGUGUGCCCAGACCUGCAUCUACCUCUGUACUAAGAUGCACAAACUAGAAAAAACUAUGUUUUCCUUACUUUUUGAUUCUGCAAGAUAGAAGGGAAGACACAAUUAUUUCAGUUUAGCAUUUAUUUUAAAGAAACGUGUGUGAUUACAUGAUGAUGUCAUCUUUCUGUCAGUCAGUACUUUUGUUUUUCUUAAUCUAAGGGGUUUUUCCCCUAGUUUAUUUUCUGAUUAUUUUAAAUAGAAAUGUUCUGAUGUUACAGAAUUAGUUUUGUUCGUUUUAAUUUUCAAAACAUGUCUUGUUCAUUGUUUUAGACCCUAAUUAUGUGUCUGUUGGUUAAGUUUCAUGUCUGUUUGAAUCCCUUCUCCUCAUUUCUUGGUCUCGCCUUCCUUCCCUCCCUCCAGAAAGUCACUUUCAGCUAACAGGAAGUCAUUCCCUUAGAUUUGCAUUCAAUUCCCCAAAGAGAAAAACUAUCACUUACCACCCAGUGAACAUAGACUCUGCCAAAGCAGGUUCAAGGUGCAGAGCGGCUUAAUCCCUGUUCUUUUAAGAAGGAUUCUGUGUCUGAGUGUCGGGAGGUGAGAGCACCAUUGUGUCUGAGAAGCAUAUAGUUGUUUUUUUUGUUCAACAUUUUGGGAAAGAAAACUUUCUUUGCACUACGUUAGGAGCUAUAGCGAAAAGUCAUUAUCCCAGCUAAGAUUCCAAACUAAAAAAGGGGGAAAUAGCGCAAAAUAAGACUUUUUUUCCUCCCGUUUGCUUCCAGUCUUUAUGCUAAGCUAACGUAAUUGCCUCUGGCUCUGUACUGCACAGGUAUCGGAUAUCCGUUCCUCCUCUGACUCUGGGAAAGAAAGUGUUUUUCCCAAAAUGUCAAGCUACUCCUUUAUCCUUAUGGGACCCUGAUUUGUGGUCAUGCAGGGUCUAGCUAAAUCCUGUUUCAUGUGCGAAUGUUUGAUUUAGAAGUUUGUCUCCACUGGGAGUUCAGGAUAAAGAUUCCCAGUUGGAGACUCAUUUUAAACCCCCCAUCCUAGUUGACAUUCCACCAGGCUCAAAUACAAACACACACACGUCACACACACAUAUAGAUGGGAACACACACUCCAGUCCCUCUACUGAACCUGUCUAUCGUUUCUCAACACGUCAUCCUCUCCUCAUCAUCCUCUUCCUUCCCAACGUCCACUUGUUGUGAGUGCAUCUGUCACUUUCCCUAAGGCCACUCCUGAUUGGUCUCUUUUGUCAUGAUGAUGUACAUAUGUAAAGUUUGCGUUGUAUAUGAAUCUGCAUGGGUUUCCAUUGCAAGCAAUAAGGAUACUGAUAUGAGUAAUAAUGUGAGGAGGUUUGAUAAGAUUUUAGUCUCAAGCUUAAUGAAUGUGUAUAUAAUAUUUAGACUAAUAAGAGUGUGUAUGAAUGUGUGUGUUAAGAUGCAUACAUAUGCACUAACAAAGCAUGCAGGAUAAAAAAAGUUCACCUCUUUGAAUGCAGAAGAGGUGGGGCGGGCUGACAUUAUGCAUGCCAAAUUGCUAUGAUGCUAAUGGUCGGAUGCGACCAAGUUAGGUACUGUAACAAGGUUGGGUGGGGGUGGGAAAGUUUAUUUUUGCAGGACAGGGAGGGGUUACGUUUGUAGUAGGUCUUGUAUAGCUGCUUUCUUAUCGAACUUGAGAGACUUAUGAUAAGAGGAACAUAUUAACAAUCGUAGCUUAUGAUUUCUUUUUUAUUUAUUUGCUUCUCUUUUCACAGAGAACUGUUCUGAAAGCUGUGCGCUUAUCAGAUAUAUGCAAAAAAAAAGCAGUAACUGUGAACUAGUGCUAAGACAUGAAAAAAAAAACACAACAAAUCCAGCUUCUUCCAUCAUUGUCUCAACCCCUCUACUGCAAGAGAGAGGAGAGACCUCCCAAGAUACCUCCUCACCCAAUUGUCCCUUCCAUCGUCUCAUGUCACGUUUCAUUUCUUUCUGUCCCGUUCAAUUCUACACUUGCAUUUAAACUACAGUGAGAUCAAAAGAAGGAUACCUCUGCAAUGUGAGAAUGCAUUGAUAACUCCCAAAAGGGAUGAGGACCAGGGCCAGAUGAACAAUGCCAGGGUGCCUUGGCCAAACCCUUACUACCCCAUUUGCUAUGUUAGGUGAUUAAAACUUAAUGGCAUUCAAAUGUUUUUAAGUACAUUUAAGUACAUUUGCCUACUUGGUGAGUACUCACCAAGUAGGCAAUUCUGGUUUCUCUUGUAGACCAGAAAUGCUUCCAGCAAAGCUGAAUUUAUGAAUAUUAUUAUUAACAAGUGGCUUGUUUUUCAGUCCGGUAUCAUGACAGCCAGAGUCAUCGGUAGGUCUUGGCUGCUUGAGAGAAGAUUUGGUCCCCAGCUAGAGUUAGGGUUAGGUUUUCCCCUUAAGUCCCUUAAGACAGUUUCCCCUAAGACUAACCACUAUCUAGAAGUGUAUUCAUGUGGAGCUAAUGCUCAAAAUGUACACCCAGUGCCAAAGGAAGUAGCAUCAGCUUUCUGUAGCAAGGUGGGAAUUAUGGGUCUGGAGGUUGGACAUGUAGCAUCAGACUUUCAGGCAGAACCCAAGAGCCCGUUUAUGUUCCCAAGCCUUGACUCGCACUGCAGGGGCACCCUUCAAACUUCAUACAUGUUUUUUUUCUUUCUUCCACCCAUUGUUGCCAAUGUUUCUCUCUGUUUCAUUCAUUCACAACUCAGGUAUCUCUUUCUCUCUCUCCCUCCGUCCCCCUGUGUUCCUUUUCACCCAUGUUUCCUCAAAGAUGUACUGUAUGUCUGAAAAAGGGAGAGAUAAGAAGUGUUCCUCUUGUUUCUGUUUCUGUGAACACCAUGUGCUCUUGUUUUGUGGCUCUUCCUUGCCUCUUUUAAAAAUGUUCUUUUGCUUUCCUUGUCCAACUGUGCUUCCUGUCUUCUCCUUGUGGCGUCCUUGGUCUUUCCAGCCUCUCAAUAACCAUGUCCCCCUUCCUGUGAGACUUUAUCCCCCCAACCUACCGUAGAUCCCCCCACUGUUAGUCUUUCACAGCAAAAACCAAAAAGGAAUUCAAUUAAUUGGAGCACCUUUGCACCUAAAAAUAAAAUGGCUUGGUGAAACACUGGACGUCACCAAGGAGGAAGACAGGAACCGACAUUUAAAUGAAUUAAAAAGACUGAGGGGGUGUACUGUAGGUUGGGAGGAGGGGAAAACUGUGCAAUGAAAUGAUGUGUUCUGAGUGGAUUGUCAGCCGAGCAGCAUCAGAGGGAGGAGAUGGAGGAGGAAAGUUUGGGGAAGACAGAAAAGUGUGGUGAUGAUGAGGAAGCAAAAGAGAAGCAAAAUCUCUUCCCCAUUGCUGAGUUUCUAAACCCCUUUCACUACAAGAAGAGGAAAACAAUAAACUUUGAAACCGCUGCUCCUCCAUCUUCCCUAAACGGAUUCACUGUAGAAAAAGGGAAGGAGAUAGAGAGAAAGAGAAGGAAAAAAAGAUGCGUGAUAGAAAUCAUCACUGACACUUUGACCAGAACAUUUUCAUCUGCGUUACACAUUCAUAUGCAACCUCGUUGACGAUCCCAAUGAAGACAAAUGGUCACGAUCGUAUAAAAGCUGUUCAAUCUGGACCUCUUUUGAACAGAGCAAACCGCAGCAUGGAGCGUAGCGUCCAGAGGGCCCGUGAGAGACUUGGAUUCGGAACAAAGAUGCCCUCUGUUUUAGUUGUGAUUUGCUUUACUCUUUUUAUUUCAAGAAGCUUCAUUCAGCUGUUGAUAUCCAGUGGAUGUUCCAUUAUUUCGGCACUCAAAGCACUAUGCAAAGUCAGGGGUGGUCCAUCGUGAUGUCUAACGACUCAGGCAGAGUCUGAGCUACAGGACCUCUAACAGCAGGCGAAAAUGUACUCAUACAUAUCAGAAAACAUCAGCCAUAUCACAUGUACAUUUGACAUGAUCCUGUAUUUGAUAUUAUCUGAAUCUUCCGGGUGACAUAUUGGGUUUAAUACUGAGAUCUCAGCAAAUGUCAAAGAGCCAGUAUUCACCUUGUGAUGGAACCAACCCAAAGACAGACCAAUUGGGGGUGAACAGAAGCCCUUGAAGACAGGAAACUGGCCGUUACAUCAGCUAAAGAAAAAGUGAAAAUGUGAUUGACCCUCUUUCUCUCUCUCUCGUUCUCUUCGAGUGUUUACGGUGUCUUGAAUGCC